RNAcentral lists this long non-coding RNA (1286 nucleotides) under Equus asinus (donkey). RNAcentral describes it as "lncRNA (ENSEASG00005031129.1)". The record is from RNAcentral. Lineage: Eukaryota; Metazoa; Chordata; Mammalia; Perissodactyla; Equidae.
UGGCCGCAGAGCGGCUUUGCCGUAAUGUAUAUCUGGAGCCUUCUUUUCCCCUCAUUCCCUGGGUUCCUGCAGGACAAACGAUCCUCCACAGAAAUAAUAAUAAUAGCAACAGACAUUUAAUGAGCUGACUGUGUGCUGAGGUCACCCAUCGAGUGCUCCUGACAGCUCCUUGAGUUAUUUCCCAGAAUCUAGACCCAGUGAUUUUUCAAGAGCAUUUGGGCCUGGAACAUACGCGCUUGUGAUUUCAUUGACCCUACCAACAGCCAUUCAGGGCCACACCUCAGGAUCCCUGAGAUCUGAGAUCAGAUGGAAGAGCAGCCAGCAGAGAACCAGGCCACUGUGGUGCCCUGAGCUGGGAAAAGGUCCUCCAGGAGAGAGAAGUUGACUGUGAAGAUGCUGGUGGAAGACGCAGCAAGAAGAGAAAGGGAACAGAGAAUCUAAUCUCCACAUUAGGUUAGCAACGUGGAGGUCCCUGGGUGCUUGACAAGAGCAAUUUCAACAGAAUAGUGAACACAGAUGUCUGAUUAAAGUGUCCUGGGGAGUGGCUGGGGAAGGGAAGAGGAAAUGUCUAGAUAAUCUUUCUGCAAGUUUGGCUGUAAAGGUGAGUAGAGAGAUGGGAUGGCAGCUGGAGGCGUGUGGUAUGAUGAAGGGGGUUUUCUGUUUGUUUGAUUGAAUGAGUGAUUGACUAGUGACGGGUUUUUUUGAAUGGUGGGAGAUACUGGCAUUUGCUGUAAGAGAGUUCUUUGUGACACAGGACUAUUCUGUGCAUCGCCAGAUGCUUAACAUCCCUGCCUCCUCCCAGUACAGGCCAGUAGAGCCCCCCAAAUAUAGUGACAACCACAAACCACCCCCACUUCCAGGAGCCCCCUCAUGUGCAACACCAAAAUGCAGCUGCGAACCAAUGCUGUAGCCCAGAGGUGGGCAAACUUCCUGUGUAAGGGACCAGGUAGUAAACCUUCUAAGCUUUGAGGGCCGUGAGGUCUCUGUCGCAACUACUCAACUCUGCCGUUGUGGUGAGGGAGCAGCCAUAGAUGGAGCUGAACAAAUGUGUGCGGCUGUGUGCCGAGAAGGCUUUAUUUACAGGCCAGCCUCGGCCCGUGGGCCGCAGUUACCCCCUGCCCUGGCAUGCUUGCAUGCUGGUGGGGAUCAGCUGAAGAAGGGGUCAGUGAUGCUGAAGAGAGAGAAAAACAAACAAACAAGGCUCCUGAGAGAGCCAGAGGGCCUCUAGGGCCCAAGGCUGGUGGCGGUGGUGGGGAGAAGGACACGCCUGCUGCGAGGAGGAGGAG